RNAcentral lists this ribosomal RNA (376 nucleotides) under uncultured bacterium. Its description in RNAcentral is "bacterial SSU rRNA". It matches the Rfam family "Bacterial small subunit ribosomal RNA", at positions 775 to 1138 of the family's 1533-position model. The record is from RNAcentral.
AGUCAAUAGAUACCCCGGUAGUCCACGCCCUAAACGAUGUCUACUAGUUGUUGGUGGAGUAAAAAUCCAUUAGUAAACGCAGCUAAACGCGUGAAGUAGACCGCCUGGGGAGUACGGUCGCAAGAUUAAAACUCAAAGGAAUUGACGGGGGCCCGGCACAAGCGGUGGAUUAUGUGGAUUAAUUCGAUGCAACGCGAAAAACCUUAACCUGGCCUUGACAUGCCACUAACGAAGCAGAGAUGCAUUAGGUGCCCGAAACGGGAAAGUGGACACAGGUGCUGCAUGGCUGUCGUCAGCUCGUGUCGUGAGAUGUUGGGUUAAACGUCCCGCAACGAGCGCAACCCUUGCCAAUAAUUGCCAUCAUUCAGUUGGGCAC